ACCCGCUGAAUUUAAGCAUAUCAAUAAGCGGAGGAAAAGAAACUAACAAGGAUUCCCCUAGUAACGGCGAGUGAAGCGGGAAGAGCUCAAAUUUGUAAUCUGGCACUUUCAGUGUCCGAGUUGUAAUCUCGAGAAGUAUUUUCCGCGCCGGACCGCAUACAAGUCUGUUGGAAUACAGCGUCAUAGUGGUGAGAACCCCGUAACUGAUGCGGAUGCCCGGUGCUUUGUGAUAUACUUUCGAAGAGUCGAGUUGUUUGGGAAUGCAGCUCAAAUUGGGUGGUAAAUUCCAUCUAAAGCUAAAUAUUGGAGCAAGACCGAUAGCGAACAAGUACCGUGAGGGAAAGAUGAAAAGCACUCUGGAAAGAGAGUUAACAGUACGUGAAAUUGUUGGAAGGGAAACGCUUGAAGUCAGACUUGCUAUUCGGAGUUCAGCCGCAAGGUGUAUUCUUCGAUUUGCAGGCCAGCAUCAGUUUUUGGGGGUGGAAAAUCGUGGUUUGAAGGUAGCAGCUUCGGCUGUGUUAUAGCUUUCCACUGGAUUCAUCUUCGGGGACUGAGGAACGCAGUACGCUUUUUGCAAGGCUUUCGAGCUUUUCGUACUUAGGAUGCUGGUGGAAUGGCUUUAAACGACCCGUCUUGAAACACGGACCAAGGAG
This 653-nucleotide ribosomal RNA is filed under the name uncultured fungus. RNAcentral's name for it is "eukaryotic LSU rRNA". It matches the Rfam family "Eukaryotic large subunit ribosomal RNA", at positions 23 to 673 of the family's 3401-position model. The record is from RNAcentral. Lineage: Eukaryota; Fungi.